Astyanax mexicanus (Mexican tetra) is the source of this 123-nucleotide ribosomal RNA. The record is from Ensembl. Lineage: Eukaryota; Metazoa; Chordata; Actinopteri; Characiformes; Acestrorhamphidae.
GUAACCGGUCAAACUAACCCUGAGAACGCCGAUCUCGUAUGAUCUCUGAAGCUAAGCCGGUGUUGGGCCUGGUUAGUACUUGGAAUGGGAGACCACCUGGGAAAUACCAAGGUGCUUGUUAAC